Molecule: long non-coding RNA, 861 nt
Organism: Zonotrichia leucophrys gambelii
Lineage: Eukaryota; Metazoa; Chordata; Aves; Passeriformes; Passerellidae
Exons: 4
Source: RefSeq, a predicted model, not a curated record
ACAGCUGCCUGCUGGAUGCUGCUCUGUUUUCCUCACACUGGAUUGAUCCUGCAUGUUCUUUGUCUUGAGACCUGGACAACAUCGAUGGAAUAGCCUAAAAUGACUGCAGCCUCAGCAAAAAGGCCUUAAUGUUUGCUUCUUUAAUCCACAUUUAGUUCAAGGAGAGGCACUGUGUUCCUCUGAGGGGAAGUGGAAAGGCUAACCCAGUUCAGAGAUAUUGUCACGACUCCAAAAAACAUGCACACUACAUCUCUGGGAUAUCCCAGAGUGAUCCAGCCCAGAUACCUUCAUUUAUGUGCAGCAAGAAGACAGAUGCUACUCAUCAGCUUAAAGGAAAAGCUGUCCUCUCUCAUUCCUUGUCACUGCACUUUUGACUAAGAAAGCAUUGGAAAAUGGUAAUGUCUUCUUAUGGAUAAUGGCUCAUAAUGCUUAUGUUCCUCAAAAACCCUAUGUGCCUGUGUGGAUGGAGCUGAACUGACCUCUUCACAUGUGUUCGAACAAUAAUUAAUGUUGCUGGAGAAAGGUGAGCUGGGAAAAGCUCUCUUUGUAAGCCCCAGGACCUGCUCUAAGAUCACUGAUACUCCUUGCACUGUGUGAAGCAUCACAGAUAUUGCACACACUGCUCAUGGGAGGUGCAUAGAAAGAAGCUGUGGAUUUAAAGCAGGAGUAGUCAGACAGCUAUGAACAGAUUUGCCUCUAAAUGUUAAAGUUUAAACUCUUCAGGAGAUAAUUUAAAUUCCUUUCCAUUUAAAAUGGUGAUGUAUGUGAAUGAAUUCAACCAAGGAAAGCUUUGUAUUUGGGUGACUACUUUUAAUGAGAUCACUUUACAACUAAGGGGAAAUAAAAGUUCAUUCACAUGAA